UAGGGAAUCUUCCACAAUGGACGCAAGUCUGAUGGAGCAACGCCGCGUGAGUGAAGAAGGUUUUCGGAUCGUAAAGCUCUGUUGUUGGUGAAGAAGGAUAGAGGCAGUAACUGGUCUUUAUUUGACGGUAAUCAACCAGAAAGUCACGGCUAACUACGUGCCAGCAGCCGCGGUAAUACGUAGGUGGCAAGCGUUGUCCGGAUUUAUUGGGCGUAAAGCGAGCGCAGGCGGAAUGACAAGUCUGAUGUGAAAGCCCACGGCUCAACCGUGGAACUGCAUCGGAAACUGUCAUUCUUGAGUGCAGAAGAGGAGAGGGGAAUUCCAUGUGUAGCGGUGGAAUGCGUAGAUAUAUGGAAGAACACCAGUGGCGAAGGCGGCUCUCUGGUCUGCAACUGACGCUGAGGCUCGAAAGCAUGGGUAGCGAACAGG
This 429-nucleotide ribosomal RNA is filed under the name bacterium. RNAcentral describes it as "partial 16S ribosomal RNA". It matches the Rfam family "Bacterial small subunit ribosomal RNA", at positions 355 to 776 of the family's 1533-position model. The record is from RNAcentral.